GUAGGUGGCAAGCGUUGUCCGGAAUUAUUGGGCGUAAAGCGCGCGCAGGCGGUUCUUUAAGUCUGAUGUGAAAGCCCACGGGCUCAACCGUGGAGGGUCAUUGGAAACUGGAGAACUUGAGUACAGAAGAGGAAAGCGGAAUUCCACGUGUAGCGGUGAAAUGCGUAGAGAUGUGGAGGAACACCAGUGGCGAAGGCGGCUUUCUGGCCUGUAACUGACGCUGAGGCGCGAAAGCGUGGGGAGCAAACAGGAUUAGAUACCCUGGUAGUCCACGCCGUAAACGAUGAGUGCUAAGUGUUAGGGGGUUUCCGCCCCUUAGUGCUGCAGCUAACGCAUUAAGCACUCCGCCUGGGGAGUACGGCCGCAAGGCUG
This 372-nucleotide ribosomal RNA is filed under the name uncultured organism. Its description in RNAcentral is "partial 16S ribosomal RNA". It matches the Rfam family "Bacterial small subunit ribosomal RNA", at positions 527 to 896 of the family's 1533-position model. The record is from RNAcentral.